RNAcentral lists this long non-coding RNA (1467 nucleotides) under Homo sapiens (human). Its description in RNAcentral is "HSALNT0372038". The record is from RNAcentral. Lineage: Eukaryota; Metazoa; Chordata; Mammalia; Primates; Hominidae.
AUCAGGUCCACCCUAGCAAUGUCUGAAUAUAACCCAAGUCUCUGUAAGGAGCAGUGGGAUGGAAACCUGUGGUUUCUUAGGCAGUUCCCUUAGGCAUCAUGCACACUGACAAUCACAAAUCACGCAUGGCAGUUCUAGUGUGUUCUUCCCAGUAGGACAGAGGUGGAGUCCUCAGGCGGAAGUGGUGGAUAGGCUGGAUCAGUGGAUCUGGCCAUGAUGUCAGGCACCUAAGGUCGUGCCUGGGGCUCCACAGAGCUGCCUUCUCCACUUCUGCAUCCCUUGCAAGCCUGCAUUCACCUGUUUGCUUCUUGGAAGGAUGCGUUGCCCAUCUCCUGACUGUGGUUCCUUGUGUCCCACGACCAACCAUCACCUUCACUUCAGGCUGCUGAGGACCACAGGAGAAAACUUCCAGAAGACCUUCAGGUCUCCAUAUUCGUGCUCUUCCCGUGCGCCCCGUUGGCUCCCCGCUCCAGCCUUUCCCGGGACCUCCCGCAUCCAGCGGUUGUUGGGCUGCCUCCCACCCAGCCGGGCCUGCUGAAGGAGGGGCCUCUCCUCAGCCACUCUGCCAGCUUUUCCCUCCAGCUGUCUUCUCCUCUGUUGGAACCCCCCUUAACCCCAUAUCCAUCUCCUGUGGUCACCCCGCCUCUUUUCUCUCAGGGUCUUGCUUCUGGAAAGCCUUUGCAUUCAUUUUCUUCUUGCUUCUCACUUAACUCUUUGACGCAUUGCAAUCUGACAUCCACCCCAUAGCUCUAGGGAGCCGCUCCGCCUGAAUGCUAAAGGCAGUGGAUACUCUUGCCGCCCUCAAUUUUUCACCGAUCUCUGGCAUUUGACUUGGUUGGUCAUUUCCUUUGCAGAGAGCAUUCCUCUCGGCUUGGAUGAUAGCACUGUCCCAGCACCAGUCCCUCCUCCUAGAGUACCUUCGCCCCUUUCUCCAGGCUGACUCCUCCUUUGCAAGCCCUAUCCUGCAACCCUGAUUGUCGCUGAGCUAGGGUCGCCCUAUGAUGGACCUGUGGGUGUGGAGGUCCUGUGGGUGUGGAGCCCACACACACACAGCUCCCAAGCUCUGACUCCAGCAGUCUCCUCACCCCAGCCAGUCUUCUCUCUGUUAUUCCCAAUCUGCACAGCCCUACCCAGCCCACAGAUGUUCAUGGCCCACUGCCACCCCUCCACCCUAACCUGUGCCAUGGUUUUUUCCCCUUAUUGUUUAAGGGAAGAACAGAUUUGUAAGUAUCCCAAAAAGGCUUAUUUCCUAAAGGACAAAGGUUUAUUUUUUUGUUUCACAGAGGUGGAAUUUUCAAAAGAUAACGUUUACAAUAGUUUACAAAAUAUCAAAUAGUCAAUUCUCAGUAGUUGUAAUAGUUAUUUCUAUAAAAUUGCCACACACUCUGAAAGAGCUAAUACUGAACCACUGCUUCUAGGAGAAAUACAAGUUUAGAUUGCUGCAAGCCUGUGGUCACAACAUUUUCA